CGAGUUCUGUAUUGUUUCGUGUGUUGUCGGAUUCGUUCGAGUUAGAGCAACAUGUGCUAUCUUGUUCAUGUGAAUGUAUGCUUUCCUGGCGUAUACAGUCGCGUUUCCGGGCUUGCAGCCGGCUGCAAGNNNNNNNAAGUGUUUUGAAACCGCGAAGUUUGAAGACGUGCUUCAUAAUGGGAUAAAGUAGUGCCGAGACAUGUAUGUAUAAAAACUUGACACUUGAUGCGUGAUUUGCCCUAAUUCGAGAGUUUGAGGGCGGCGUCUAGUGAGUUUAAGGAGACGCCACUUUCGUGAGGCAGGCCGGUGGCGGGCUCGC
Molecule: long non-coding RNA, 319 nt
Filed under: Locusta migratoria (migratory locust)
Lineage: Eukaryota; Metazoa; Arthropoda; Insecta; Orthoptera; Acrididae
Description: partial Lnc26563
Source: RNAcentral